This 566-nucleotide ribosomal RNA is filed under the name uncultured Bacteroidota bacterium. Its description in RNAcentral is "bacterial SSU rRNA". It matches the Rfam family "Bacterial small subunit ribosomal RNA", at positions 60 to 627 of the family's 1533-position model. Lineage: Bacteria; Pseudomonadati; Bacteroidota. The record is from RNAcentral.
AGUCGAGGGGUAUGGGCUUUCGGGCCCAGAGACCGGCGCACGGGUGCGUAACGCGUAUGCAAUCUACCUUUUACAGCGGGAUAGCCCAGAGAAAUUUGGAUUAAUACCACAUAGUAUUAUAGGAUGGCAUCAUUUUAUAAUUAAAGUCACAACGGUAAAAGAUGAGCAUGCGUCCCAUUAGCUAGUUGGUAAGGUAACGGCUUACCAAGGCAACGAUGGGUAGGGGUCCUGAGAGGGAGAUCCCCCACACUGGUACUGAGACACGGACCAGACUCCCACGGGAGGCAGCAGUGAGGAAUAUUGGACAAUGGGCGCAAGCCUGAUCCAGCCAUGCCGCGUGCAGGAUGACGGUCCUAUGGAUUGUAAACUGCUUUUAUACAGGAAGAAACCCUUGCUCGUGAGCAAGAUUGACGGUACUGUAAGAAUAAGGAUCGGCUAACUCCGUGCCAGCAGCCGCGGUAAUACGGAGGAUCCAAGCGUUAUCCGGAAUCAUUGGGUUUAAAGGGUCCGUAGGCGGUUUAAUAAGUCAGUGGUGAAAGCCCAUCGCUCAACGGUGGAACGGCCAU